CCUACGGGGCGCUGCAGUGGGGAAUAUUGCACAAUGGGGGAAACCCUGAUGCAGCGACGCCGCGUGAGUGAAGAAGUAUCUCGGUACGUAAAGCUCUAUCAGCAGGGAAGAUAAUGACGGUACCUGACCAAGAAGCCCCGGCUAACUACGUGCCAGCAGCCGCGGUAAUACGUAGGGGGCAAGCGUUAUCCGGAUUUACUGGGUGUAAAGGGAGCGUAGACGGCAGCACAAGUCUGGAGUGAAAGGCGGGGGCCCAACCCCCGGACUGCUUUGGAAACUGGAUGGCUGGAGUGCAGGAGAGGCAGGCGGAAUUCCUAGUGUAGCGGUGAAAUGCGUAGAUAGUAGGAGGAACACCGGUGGCGAAGGCGGCCUGCUGGACUGUGACUGACGUUGAGGCCCGAAGGCGUGGGGAGCAAACAGGAUUAGAUACCCCAGUAGUC
This 440-nucleotide ribosomal RNA is filed under the name uncultured bacterium. RNAcentral's name for it is "partial 16S ribosomal RNA". It matches the Rfam family "Bacterial small subunit ribosomal RNA", at positions 338 to 795 of the family's 1533-position model. The record is from RNAcentral.